AGCUCCAGGACACAGGUUCACACCACCACAGCUGGCUUUUACACGGGUGGUUGGCAUCUGAGCUCAAUUCUUCACUUUACCUGCAGCACAGAACCGUAAUGUAGCAAGCUAAAGCAAAAAGCCGAAGGAUGAGUGGCUUUACCCACAGAGGGUCACUGUCCGACCAUUGGAGGCCUGGAAUUCCAAGACCAAGGUGUCAGCAGAAUCUGUUUCUCCUGGGACCACUCUGCUUGGCUGCCUUUCCCAUAUGUGUGUGUCUUGACCUCCCCUUUUAAGGACACCGGUCAUAGUGAAUCAUGGCCCGCCCAAAUAAACUCCUGUUACCUUGA
Molecule: long non-coding RNA, 329 nt
Organism: Mus musculus (house mouse)
Lineage: Eukaryota; Metazoa; Chordata; Mammalia; Rodentia; Muridae
Product: predicted gene, 41935
Exons: 2
Source: RefSeq, a predicted model, not a curated record